CCCGUCACCUAGUAUGUGUGCCACCCCUAACACAUAACAAAUACCCAAGCCAACGGGUAAAUGCCCUCAAAUCCAUGUUUAGAUAUGUUACUUACCUCAAACAAGCCAAAUCCAUACUCUAAAAAUGCCUUCCCGCACGAAACGACCUCCGAGUGGUUCGAAUCUAGCCAAAAGUAACUCAAAGCAUCAAAUAAUGCCAUAGGAAACAAACCCAAACAAUAAAGGUCGAAUCUUUAAUCAAAUACUCAAAGUCAACCAAAAGGUCAACCUGGGACCGCACCCCAAAACCCAACAAAAUUUAUAAAUUCCGACAACCCAUUCGUAUACGAAUCCAACCAUACUAAUUUCAUCCAAUUCCGACUCCGGAUCAAUGUUCAAAUCUAAAUUAUUCAUUUUAGGAAAGUUUUUGACAAAACCCCCAAUUUCUCUUUUAGAUUAACCAAUCAAAUGCCACAAUCGAAGAUGAAAUCAUGUAAUAUAAUCAAAUCUGAGUAAAAAAAUACUUAAUCUAAUCCAAAUCAUGAAAAUCCCCUCAAAUAAUAGUCCAAAUCUGAGCUCCCAAACUCAAAAUACGAUAAAAUAAACAAAACCCUCGAUAUAUAAAAAGCUGAUAGUGAUUUCCGCGUUUGCGGACAAAGAGUCGCAUCUGCAGCCCCGCUUCGUCGGUUCCUAACUAGCAUCUACGAGAAUCCCUCAACAGGUCGCUGACCGCAUCUGCGACAAGCAAGCCGCAUCUCCGGCUCCGCAGGUGCACCAACAACAACCAACAUGAUCCAAAAUGAUCUGAAACCCAUCUGAAACUCACUCGAGCCCCUCGGAACCCCGUCCAAUCAUGCCAAUAAGUCCCAAAUGUAACAUGGACAUGCUCGAGGCCUCAAAUCACACAAAAUAAUAUCAAAACCAUGAAUCGCACCUCAAAUCAAGCUUAAUGAACUAUUUCAAAUUUCCAAACAUACUCUGAACAUGUCUAAACAACUCGGAAUCACCUCAAAUUUUGCGCACGAGUUCCAAAUGACACAAAGAACCUAUUCUAACUGCUGGAGCAACAAUCCAAACCCGAUAACAUCGAAGUCAACUCCCGGUCAAACUUAUGAAUUUUCUAAACGUUCAAAUUGCCAACUUUCGCCAAUUAGAGCCAAAACCUUCUAGAAGCGUCCAAAUAUAUAUAUAUAUAUGGGCAUACGCCCAAGCCCAAAAUCACCAUCCGGAACUAAUGGAACCAUAAAAACUCCAUGAAAAAAAUACUAUACCUGGACCUAUUAAUACAUGAGCGGGGAGAGAGAAACAAAAGGGAUUCAAGGCUAAGGCUUUUCUCUUCACCACCCAUCCGACCAAGGUUUCCAAUACACACUAAAGGUGAGUUUUAAGUGUAGUUUUAUGAUGAUUUCACUUCUCAAUCACUAGUUACAAUAGGGCUUUGUCUUGGAUUCCAAAGGAUUUCUUCAAAAUCUCAAGAACAUCCCAAAAGUUGACUUUCAAGAUUUGGGAUACAAGAGGUAAUUCUUCGCCCUUAAACCUACAUGCAUGGAUUUUUAGUGAAUAUAUGAGCAAGAAAUAAGUAUUAUCACUUAUGGGAUAGUGAUUGGAAGACAUAAGUGCUUAACUUAGAUUAUUGGGUGUUGUAGAGAUUUUGUAAUGAGUUAAUUAGUAAAAUUUGGUGGAUGUGAGUUCAUUGAUGAUUAUAAUGGUACUAAAGAAGGCAUUUAGUAGUCAAAGGAUGUUUUAGUAUCUCUUGUUGGUGGGAAGGAGGGAUUUUUGGAUGAAGAAAUACAAUUACUAGAGGUAGUAGAAUGCUAUACACUAUAGGUGUUUGACAAAAUGCCAAAAUAACCUAAAACCGGGAAGUUUUUAAUAAUAUUGGGCCAAUUGAAUUAUGUCGAUGUAGAUUGAAGUUAUAAGAGUAGUGGAGGUUUUAGUAUCACUAAAUCUCUUAAUCGUGGUAUGUUGGCUAACUCCUUUUCUAAAAUCGAAAUCCAUGAGUUCCUCGUAAGUUCUAAAUAUGGUUUGGUCAAACUCCUAUCCCAACUGUUCCAAAUUGCUUCCGAAUGUGCUUGAGUUCUUACAUACUCAUGAGUUGAAGCUAUAGAUAUCAUGCUCCCAUUUUGGAAAGGUAUUCCAAGAAUUUGUGUACUAAUCGCUUAUGAGUUUAACUUGUGUUUCAAUUGUCAAUCAUUAUGCUCCACUCUUUGAAAGGAAUUCAAUGUGUUUAAGGUACUAUACUAAUGAACUUAAAGUUAUGAUUUCUAGAAUGUUCUAUAAAUUGAUGUUUAUGAUAAUGGUCCUUGGAAGUAAAGAAAUGAAAGUGUAAAAUAUGAAAUGCAGCAAUGGUACCAUGAAUGAGGAACAUUAGGUAUGGCCAAGAGAGCCAAUGAAAUGAAGAUGUUGUGAAUGGUUAACAGUGAUAAUGAAGCGAUAGAAGUUAUGAAAAGCUAUGAGAUGAAUACAUUUGUAUUUUUAUUUCCUUUAUAUACAAAAUAUUUUUGGGAGUAUCAUUAGCGCACUGAGGAAAGGUGGGUUGUAAAGGCCCACACCCGAAACUACAUGUGCCGGUGUAGGAGACGAUUGAGAGACAAAAAUUUCCUUGUACUAUGAUGAGAGUAUUCUCCUUAAGUGGGAUGAGUUUGUUGCUUACACCUGUUCAUAUCACCAUGUCGAUCCACAUGGCAUUGUGGGGAGACGACUUAGCUGAUCGGGUGGUGAUCGGACACCAUGCCGCGUACAUGGUGGUUCCUCCUUCUUAUUAUUAUAUUUGAUUUGUAUCACCAUGUCGAUCCAUAUUCAUUCGUGGUAAGAUGGCUUAGCCGAUCGAGCAGAGAUCAGACUCUGUGCCAUAUGCACGGGGGUACUGGGUAUCCACAUCCACCUAUAUUGAGGUGAGACGGCUUAGCCAAUCGAACAGUGAUCGGACUCCAUGCCUCUUUCUUGGUGUGACGAUCAAUGGCUAAUGAUCUCCCAACCAAAAAUGUUAAUGCUUAUUUGAAAAUUGGUUAUGUUUUAACUUGGCUUUUAGAUAUUAUUGGUUUUCCUUAUCGCUUUCAUGAUCUCUCCUUCUUAUAUUGGCAUUCUAUUCCAUGAGAGGGUAUUUAGCUUUACAUACUAGUACUAUUCCAUAUGUACUAACAUCCCUUUUGCUGGGGAUAUUGUAUCUUUAAUAGAUGCAGGUGGCUCCACGGCAGGUGGCUCAGGUUCUUGAUAGGUGUGCCCUCUUCUCAGCUGACUAGGUGAGUCCUACUCUAUAGCAGGGUUGUAUGUUAGUACUGACACUUUUAUGUUAUUUUGAGGUAUAGCCCGGGCCUUGUCACCGGCAUCUCCAUACUAUUCUCGUCAUUUAGAGCCUCCGCAGACAUAUUGUGAGUCGUGUUUUGGAUGGGGUAAAACUAUAAAUAUCAUUCCUAUUAGUUGAUUUCACUUACAAACUAUGAACUUGUAUUAUUUUGCCUUUUACAAAUGAAUCUAAUUUGUGAAAUUGGAAGUGUACAUUUUACCCUCUGGUUUGACCAUAUGUUUGUAUUUAUUCGUGAGUUAUUUAUAGGCAAGGUUGAAUGGUAGGAACUAAGUAGGCUUGCUUAACUAGGGUAACUCGGUUGAGUGCCAGUCCCGCUCCCCAAGGUCGGGGCGUGACAAGCUUGGUAUUAGAGCCAAAGGUUUUAAAGCAUCUUAGGAUGUCUCGGAGCCGUAUCUAGUAGAGUCCUUCUUAUUGGUGUGUUGUCGACCACAUCAAUAAGUAGGAAUCUACUUGGGCAUUUAGGAAUGUCACCCUUAUUUGAAAUUCUAGAUCGUGCCAUAGAUCUCAAGGUAGGAAACUAAUUUCCCCAUCGUUUCUAUAUUGUUUUAGAAGAUCAAUCCACGAGUUGGAGGCGGUGAAGAGGGAUUGACCCCACCAUUGAAUCUGGGUAGAUUGCCCAAGAGUUCGUUGGGAGGAUGGGUCGAGCCUUGUAGGGAUUGGAAGAAGUAGUUACUAGGGGAAAUUCCCUGGUUCCCCUGCUUGCGCCACGCCAUCGAAUUAUGUGGCGCAAGCACCUAGGAAACGAAAGAGGGUUGUUUGUACCAAUAAACCGCAAUGUCCGAUUUGUAAGAAGCGCCAUCUGGGGAUAUGUUGGAUGACUCUUGAAAUAUGUUAUGGUUGUGGAAUGAGAGGGCACAAGAAGAACAGAUGCCCCAAGUUGGGCACACCCAGAGAAGUCAACCCGACUUGUGGAAAGGAACAUAUGGCGCCAUGUCGCAAGCAUGCUCAGGAGCGUUUUAGGGGCGGCAGGCCCGGGCACUUCCAACGGCAGUGCAGCUAGCGAUAACUAAGAGUGGCAUUAGCACCAGCACUAUGAGCCAAUACAAAUAUUUUUGCUCCCAUCUUGAGGGCCUGGAGGAAGGAUAGGGAGGAUGCUUAUGAUGUAUGCAAAAGGGUAAAUAUAUUAUUAGUGGGACAAGCCACCUUAGCGGACCUCAUCCUCAUUGUGAGAAGUGUAGGAGGUGCCAUUCGGGGGUGUACCGCCAAGGUACCAAUGCAUGUUAUGGGUGAGGUGUUGGUAGGCAUCAGAUAAGGCACUGCCCCAGCAACCAAGGAUAGCAAGUAAGUCCCUCCUUAGUACAUCAUUAUAAAUAUCAUAUAACUUUUCUUGUCGAAUUUGGGCAUCUAUAUUGAAGGGGGCAGCACAAACAUGGUCUUAACACAACAUUGAGUCACAGAACAUUGAAUGUACAUACUCUUUGGACUAGAUACAUCGUUCAUAGAGCCUCUUUACCGUGAUUCUCUUACAUACAAACUCUUAAGGAAUCUAGUUCUAUAAUGAUUUCCUUGAAUCGAGUUAUAACCUUAGGUUGGUAAUUUUAACUUGAUUCUCCAAAUUCUCAACAAAGGACUUUACUUGACGAGUUUCUUAUAGGAUUUCCUAUUUGAAAUGAAUAACGUAUGUUGUCUUAGGCACACACCAUCCUAACUUUAACCUACACGACAUCGAGUCAAAUGUAAAGCAACCUUGUGUUGAGACCUUUCCUAGACCACUCUCUUUCUUACAUAUGCGGCUCAUAGGAUUUAAGAAAUCACUUUACUUAUUUUGUGAGCAUUAUCAUGAACCAUCUUCACUGUUUAACAACUUAAAAGCACAGCUCAACACCCUUCAUAUAUUUUAUUUGGAAAGGUCACUUUUCCGUAUAGGGCUUCAUCAGAAACUUGCGAUUCUCACAAAUUCAUCAUAAAAUAACCUCCACUUGGGGCGGAUGUUCCAUAUAUUGACACAUGUCACGAACCUAUCGACUUGAGGGACAAGUCCACCACAUCUCUAGUCCUUUCGCAUAGGAUCGAGUUUUGGGAUGAUUAAGUUGCUAGGGUAAUAACCUCAUAAGUGCUCCACCUAUUUUUCAAUCUUAUGUGCUUGGGGCAUAGAUUCCUUAUGUUAAUUACCAUUUAGUCAUAAUUCAAUAUCGUAUAUCUUUGAAAACCCUAUCAUAUUCAUGCUGCAAGGAUUUUCUCACUUCGAGUCCGAUUGAUUUCCCAUAUGCUCAAGAAGGUAUUUUAUGACACGUACUUGGCUGUUUCUCCUCAAGCUUAUCAUUGACAAACCAGUCACCUAUGACAUAAAGAACUCAUCAUUAUCUCGUUCGGAACUCCUCGUCUCCUAAGAAUAACCUAUAUUAUCAUCUAUAUCCUCCCGGCCAUGUAUCCCAUAUAUCACAUGCCAAAACAACUCAGUUCUUUUACAUUUUGGGAUCAUAUACAUAGUUCUCAUGUUAUCCAUAUGUACUGGUUAACUUUAGGUCUCCCUUAGUCGAAUAAAUGAUGUUAUCGCCAUGAUUAACCAUGCUAGUACUAUUGGUAGUAACCUUGAUACGUCUUAGGAUAUAACUUCUAGAAAUGACUCUACUCAAUACAUUGAUGGAUUCUUGAACAAUUCUAGCUCACUCUCGAACCUCACCCUUCCUAAAUGAACUAAACUUGCUGGUGUUGAAGGUUCAAACAUGUAAAAGUAUCAUUCCAUUAUCAAACAAAAAGGGCAAGAGACUCUAUGGUUAUAUUCAUUCCAGCUCAUCGUAGAAUAAGGUGGAGAAGGUUGAGGGAUGCCAAAAGUCCAAUUCGGAUGUUCGACAUAGAAAUUUGGAGUUUGGGAAAGUGAAUGGGUUCUUCUAAAAAAUUUCUCCAUGAAGACGUUAUGUGAUUUGUUAAUAAAGCUAAAUUGAGUCCAGUGCACAUUUGGGCCUUAUAGAAUCUAGAAGAAAAUAUGCCAAGUAGCAUAUGAGGUUGAUUAUCUCAAGAGUUGUCAUCCAUGCAUCCCGUGCUUCAUGUGUCCCAGUUGAAGCAAAUUACUGAGGGAUUUUUCACUCAUUAUCCCUAUGGAGAAUAUUGGAAUUUAUGAAGGUUUGACCCGUGAAAAGGUUCCUUUCCAUCCUUGAUAGACAUGUUCGAAAGUUGAGAAAUGGAGCGAUUGCCUCUAUCUAGUGUUGUGGCAAAAUCAAUAAUGUCGAAGAGGCCACCUGGGAGGCCGAGGAAAAUAGGAAACAAAAAUAUCCCCAUUUGAUGUAUAACCCAAUGGUUGUGUUUAAAAGAAUGUUAGCAGUGUACUAAAUGUUUUAAACUCGUACAGCUUAUGGUAAGAUGCCCUUUUUGUUAAUACAAUGCUUGUAAUUUUGAGAUUGGUGUUAUAUAUAUGUUGUGAUGCUUCAUUGAGUUGUGGAUGUAUUGUUAGUGUUCGGUUUUGUGGCUCUCUAACAGGUGGAUAGACCUAAAAAUAGGGGAAUUUCUGUAAAAAAUUUUGGAAAUCUGGAGAGUUAGCCAAUUUGAGGCACUAAUGAUUAAUGAUAAGUAGCAAGAGGCAUAUGAAGUUUAUUAAGUGAAGAGCAAAGUCAUUUUUGGUGUCUAGGGUGGACUCUAACCCUUAUUCGGGGAUGAAUAAUCCUAAGCAGGGAGGAUGUAAGGCCCAACGAAUUUCUAUAGCUAAUUCAAGCAAUUUCGAGCUUAGGAAUAUAAUUUGAUUUAGACCCAAAUUUUAUGAGAAAUUACUGGAAUGGAUAAUGUUAUUUGGAUACUUGGGGUAAUUAUUUUAUUAAUCUUUGAGUGUUGGAUCAAUGGGAAAACACUUGGAUGUUAAUUUCAAAGAAAUAAAACUAAAGAAAUAACAAUGAACUAUCUCCCCAUAGCACAAUUAUAGCACAUGAGGGAAGCACGAAUUUUAGCAAACCAGUGAGCUAAAGCUCUAUAGCACAGCUAUAGCACCAGUGAAAAAAUACUGUACUUGAACCUAUUAAUACAUGAGCGGGGAGAGAUAAACAAAAGGGAUUUCAAGGCUAGGGCUUUUCUCUCCACCACCAACCUGACCAAGGCUUCCACUACACACUAAAGGUGAGUUUUUAAGUGUAUUUUAUGAUGAUUUCACCUUUCAAUCACUAGUUACAAUAGGGUUUUGUCUUGGAUUCCAUAGGAUUUUUUCAAAAUCUCAAGAACACCCCAAAAGAUGGAUUUCAAGAUUUGGGCUACAAGAAGUAAUUCUUCACCCUUAAACCUAUAUGUUGUUGCACCCUAUUUUGCAUGAGUCAAAACAAGAUUCAACUAGUGAUUUCCUGUUGAUGAUAAAAGAGAGUCACCACCUAAUAUUUAAAGGUAUACUAGGGUACUUAUUUGAUUAUUAAGAUUAUUAUCCUAUUAGUCUGCUAACCAGUGAGAUUUGGAUAAAGUUUCUUGUUCUUCUAAGGGAAAGGUAUUAGGCACCCCCUAGAAUCUACCUAAGGUAGCUCCAUAGAACUUAGACUAGGUUGGGGAAUUAAAUGUCUAUAUUCUACUUGGUUAGUACUUAAAAAUGUACUCUAUGUCAUGUUUGGAACUUAUCAUUUUUAAAGGAAGAUAGUAUAUGUACUUUGAAAAGAGAGUAUAGGUUUUGCUUGGGAAAGUACCUUUAAAAAUAUUUACAUAGUUGAAAUAGUUUUAGAAAUGUAUUUAUAAUGUCUAUGUUUGUAAACUUGCAAACAUAGCUAUGUUUUAAAACAAUUUAGCCUUGAAAAAAAAUGGCUAUAUGUGUAACUUUAGUAAAGUAAGGCUAUUUGAAGAAAUAGGUUUUGGAUAUCCCUUAAGACCAAUUUCAAAUCUUGUACCCAAGUUCAUUUGAAGUAUCAUCGACUGCGACUGCAUUUGUUUCGAUUUGUAAAAAACUUGAUCUUGAAAUCAUUUGCCCGGUUUUUGGAUUUUAAGGAAAAAAGUUGUCAACUUUUGAAUAUGUUUUUGAACUUCAAAGAAUUCCAUGAAAACGGUUAGUAUCAGUGAAAGUAAAACUAUAUGGCAGAAGCAAUUGAGUAUGUUAAACUAUUUAACCAAUGUAAGAAAUAACAAUUCCUUUUAAUUGUCCUAUGGUUUUUACCUUGCCUAGAUUUCUGAGGUAAUUCAUAGAUAAUAAAUACAGAGAAAGCAUUUACUAAAUAUUAUUAAUGUUAUAUACACAAAAGGCAACAACAAAUUAUGUAAAGCAAUAAGGAAAGAGAAUUGGACUCAUGGUUUGGGCCUGAAGAAUGUUAGGCCCAGCAGACAACGAACAACAAUAACAACUUUAGGUGACUCCAAGUUCGGACUAAGAAUUUGGGUCUGAGUUCUUUGAGAACUGGGUAGGCCCAACUCAAAUUCAUGUAAAAAAAAGAAAAAGAGAAGGUCAUCAGAUACAUGGCCCAAUUCAACAUUUAAACAUAAGUAAUAUCAGUAUAGGCCCAAGAUAAAACAGUAACAAAUACUGGUAAUUAAGAAUGCAAUAAAAUUAAUGUAAGAUCAAAAAGAGUAAACAAAUUAACAGUGAGGCCUUUUUAUUAUUUAACACUAACCCUAAAAAGAUUAAUAAGUGUCAAUGGUUAAAAGCUUAAGAUAAAAUCCCAUUCAUGGCCAAGGUACCCUUUGGAUCCCUGGCAUUUCAGAUUUCACAAGGGUCUCAGGGACCCCGAGCAGUGCUUGUGUCAGGGAAGGCAUCUCAACCACAAACUAAACCUUACUUGCAAAUACCCUUAACUACUCACACUUACUCUUCUUUAUAGGUUUAAGUACCAAUGAGGCACUCACUGUAGCUCUAAAGCAAUAAUAAUAUCAUAGAGGUAUAUACAAUUCUCACAUAGAUUAUUCAAAAUAUUACUAUGAAUAUUGUGAUAGCAAAUAGCAUCAUAGGGAUUACAAUCCAAACACAAGGGUGUAGUACACAGUCAACAUCUUCAACAUACUUAGGAAUACUCAAAGAAACCAAUAACAGGUACAACCAAAGAGAGGGAACACCAACAAAUUAUUUAGGAAUAAAAACAUUCAGUCAUAUGAUUAAGGAGUAAGGAGACACAUGCAUCUACUGAUAAUUUCAAAUUUUACAAGAGUCCCUACUCAUAACACCUUGACAGCUUAUUAGACUAUGUUUUGAAUUAAUCAAAGGUUCAUUCAUAGACUAAGUCUUAAUCUCUACUAAUAGUAUAAGUUAAUAGCCUCAUUUCGAAUCCUUAAAGUAUAUUAACAAGGACACUUAAGCAAACAAAUUGAUCUUUGCAUAAGCAGAUGACAUAAUCUUUAAAGGCUAAUAACAUCACAUUCAUACUAGGCUCAUUAGGAGUUAAGACAUUCAAAUAAACACAAGGUAAUGUUCUGACAGGGCAGGUAAGCAUUAAGAGCUUCCCUUAAGUCUAUAGGUAAGACACAAUUAACUAUGUAGGCCUAGCAAGGCUGAAUUUCCCUUAUGUGAUAGUACAAUAUGAGAGCAUAAGCAUGAGUAUAAAAGGUAAGCAGUAAGUUUGUUUAAUGAAUGAGUGCAGAAAAACUAGGAGAAGAUAACUACGCACUUACAAGAGAUAUCCUUGAGGAGUGCAAGACUACAACAUGGUAGAAUGUCAAACAGCAUAGGGCCAGACCAACAAAUUCAUUACAGAAGUCUAGGACAAGGAAGGUUUCACAUUAAAUAAGCAUGGUUCUAGUAGCAAGACAACUAGUCUGGUUAAACAGGUGAAUACAUUAGUCCAAGCAUGAUAAAGUUUAACUUAGUAUGGUCAGUUCAAGAAUGAUAUACAUGUACAAUAACUAUAACUCUCAACCAAACUCUAUUUCUUAAUCAUAUACUUGAAGACUAUUCUAAACAUGUUUGGUCUAGGUUAACAGUAGCAAUAAGAGUUCAUAUUAGAUUUACUACAAAAAUUAAUUAGAACUUAAACCAAUUUCAUUUCAGAACAUAUUUACAUUUGGGUGAGGCUUCACAUAUAUGAUAACAUAAUCAAGGAUGUUGACAGGAAAACCUUUACAGUGAUCUCUUAAGAGGUCUCAGAAUUACAGAAGAACAUUGGAAUAGAGAAAGCAACCCAAACAACUUGAACUGGUAUGCCUUAACUAAAAUGACAACCAUGUAUUUAAACUUAAGUGUUCAUAUUCCUUUUUUAGUUUUGGUUUAUCAGAUAGAUAACCUUAAGUACAUGAUGCAAAUCAACAAGUAACACUAAGUAAGGAUCAGUAAAGUAAGCAUGAGGACCAUAGCAAAGUCAUCAGGGAAGUUUAAGGUCAAAGCAGAUGUACAUAAUCAGUAAGGUUCUUUGUUAAUCACACAUUGUAUAUUCAUCAAAAUUACAAAAUGGUUGAUUAGUAUUGAUUUAGCUUCAGAUCAUUGAGGGAAAUAGUACCAAAGCAUAAUGUCGAUUAUGAUCUAAUAAAAAUACAUUAUGAGCAAAGAUAAUCAAUUAUAAACUAAUAACAACACAUCAUGAGCAGAAUUAAUUAACAGAAGAUAACAUAGUAGGUAUAAUUUUAACUAAACAAUUAAAGGAGAGGAAGGGUCGAAGCUCGCUGACCUUCAUUUGAGCAGCAAAUCAAUCAAGGAUUUUUGUUAGCCUUUAGGAACCAAGAACUCAAACUCCGACCACUGUAGAGCUCGGAAUCAAAAAGAAAUCAGAAGCUAGUUAGAAAACCCUAGCUUGAUGUUUACUACUCAAGAUUAAAAUUGAUAUUUCUCUGUUUGCUAAGUGAUUUCGUGUGUAUCUAGUGUUAGGUGAGAGCAUUUAAAGCCCCAUUUUAUAGUGGCAUUAAAUGCCUUAGGUUCAACAGAAAUCAAACUCGGUAGUGGAGGGUGACGAAGGAGUAGUGAUGUGAGCAUAAUCAGGUGAAAAUAUGAGAAGACACAGGUAAAUCAAUAGGGAUUUUACAUGAGAGGGGGGGGGGAAGUUGAUUGUUGAAGGCAAACUCCAUCGGGUAAGAGCCUCAAUGUCCAGAGGUCGCUUUGUUUGACCUCUGGACCAAGAAUAAAUAUGAUAGCGCUAGGAGACGGCCAUGCAUGCCACUGAUUUAACAAAACAUAGAAGAUUUCUGAAGACUUGACCUUGCAUCGUUUGACAUAAGGUUUCAGAUUUGGGGAUUUUUAAAUUUGAGAGAUGAGACGGGGAAAAAACGGCGAGAUUCGCAGAUUAAGGAGGCAAAGGGGAUGAUUUCAUGGGUGAUUUGAGACCUUGCACGAAUUUGUGCAAGGUUUUUUAAUUGAUUAGGGUGAUAGGAGUUGAGAGAAUAGAGAGAAAAGGUGAAAUGAGGGGUGGCUGGUCUUAGACGAAAUGAUUUAGGGUU
RNAcentral lists this long non-coding RNA (11533 nucleotides) under Nicotiana tabacum (common tobacco). RNAcentral describes it as "long non-coding RNA (NTAB_LNC002200)". Lineage: Eukaryota; Viridiplantae; Streptophyta; Magnoliopsida; Solanales; Solanaceae. The record is from RNAcentral.